CCCUUAGAUGUUCUGGGCCGCACGCGCGCUACACUGAUGCAUUCAACGAGUCUAAAACCUGCUCUGAUAGGGGUGGGUAAUCUUUUGAAUGUGCAUCGUGAUUGGGAUAGAUGAUUGCAAUUUUUCAUCUUCAACGAGGAAUGCCUAGUAAACGCAAGUCAUCAGCUUGCACUGAUUACGUCCCUGCCCUUUGUACACACCGCCCGUCGCUCCUACCGAUUGAAUGAUCCGAUGAAUAUCAUGGAUUGAGGAUGCAAGUAGGUUCACCUAUCUUCAUCUUCGAGAAGUGAAGUAAAUCUUAUCAUUUAGAGGAAGGAGAAGUCGUAACA
Molecule: ribosomal RNA, 329 nt
Filed under: uncultured eukaryote
Lineage: Eukaryota
Description: partial 18S ribosomal RNA
Rfam family: Eukaryotic small subunit ribosomal RNA
Source: RNAcentral